RNAcentral lists this ribosomal RNA (710 nucleotides) under uncultured anaerobic ammonium-oxidizing bacterium. RNAcentral's name for it is "bacterial SSU rRNA". It matches the Rfam family "Bacterial small subunit ribosomal RNA", at positions 358 to 1051 of the family's 1533-position model. The record is from RNAcentral.
AGAAUCUUUCGCAAUGCCCGAAAGGGUGACGAAGCGACGCCGCGUGUGGGAAGAAGGCCUUCGGGUUGUAAACCACUGUCGGGAGUUAAGAAAUGCAAGGGUGUUAAUAGCGCCCUUGCUUGACUAAGGCUCCGGAGGAAGCUACGGCUAACUCUGUGCCAGCAGCCGCGGUAAUACAGAGGUGGCAAGCGUUGUUCGGAAUUAUUGGGCGUAAAGAGCACGUAGGCGGCCUUGAAAGUCAGUUGUGAAAUCCUUCCGCUUAACGGAAGAACUGCAUCUGAUACUCCAGGGCUCGAGUGCGGGAGGGGAGAGUGGAACUUCUGGUGGAGCGGUGAAAUGCGUAGAUAUCAGAAGGAACGCCGGCGGCGAAAGCGGCUCUCUGGUCCGUAACUGACGCUGAGUGUGCGAAAGCUAGGGGAUCAAACGGGAUUAGAUACCCCGGUAGUCCUAGCCGUAAACGAUGGGCACUAAGUAGAGGGGUUUUGAUUAUCUCUCUGCCGGAGCUAACGCAUUAAGUGCCCCGCCUGGGAAGUACGGCCGCAAGGCUAAAACUCAAAAGAAUUGACGGGGGCUCGCACAAGCGGUGGAGCAUGUGGCUUAAUUCGAUGCAACGCGAAGAACCUUACCGGGGUUUGACAUGGUAGAAGUAGGAACCCGAAAGGGUAACGAACGGUAUCCAGUCCGUAGCUAUCACAGGUGUUGCAUGGCUG